UACGUAAGGUCCGAGCGUUGUCCGGAAUCAUUGGGCGUAAAGGGUACGUAGGCGGAUAAGCAAGUUAGAAGUGAAAUCCUAUAGCUCAACUAUAGUAAGCCUUUAAAACUGCACAGCUUGAGGUAUGGAAGGGAAAGUGGAAUUCCUAGUGUAGCGGUGAAAUGCGCAGAUAUUAGGAGGAACACCGGUGGCGAAGGCGCCUUACUGGGCCUAAACUGACGCUGAGGGACGAAAGCGUGGGGAGCAAACGGG
This 252-nucleotide ribosomal RNA is filed under the name uncultured bacterium. RNAcentral's name for it is "partial 16S ribosomal RNA". It matches the Rfam family "Bacterial small subunit ribosomal RNA", at positions 524 to 776 of the family's 1533-position model. The record is from RNAcentral.